GUGCGAGACCGAUAGCGAACAAGUACCGUGAGGGAAAGAUGAAAAGAACUUUGAAAAGAGAGUUAAAGAGUACCUGAAACUGCUGAAAGGGAACCGAAUCGUAUCCAGUGUCUAUAAUCCAUGGCAUAUUUCAUUGGCGAGUGAGUGCGUGCAGCGUUUUGGAAGUGGUUUUCCGCUCCUGUCGUUGUUGUGCAUUUGCUUGCUGGUGCCCUGUGCUGUGGUGGGACGUCAGAGUCAGUUUGUGUGUCGCGGGAAAUGGUUGUUGGGGAGGUAGGUCGCUUCGGUGGCUAUUAUAUCCUGGUAACUAGUCGUCGUGGCUGAGACUGAGGUGCCUACAAUGUGCUUUCGAGUGUGCGGGUUUCUCGUGUGGCUGUUUGCUUUGAUAGCUUGCUAUGUUGGUGAAUAAGUUGUGCGAUUGAGACCUGUAUUAACUUGUUGCUGUUCGGGACUUUG
Molecule: ribosomal RNA, 453 nt
Filed under: uncultured Oomycota
Lineage: Eukaryota; Oomycota
Description: LSU rRNA
Rfam family: Eukaryotic large subunit ribosomal RNA
Source: RNAcentral